GAAAAAAAGCGACGGCCAUUUCUCAGAGAAGAGCCGAAGUCAGUCCCAGCUCAUCGCUCGGACGCGACUAAGGGUGCAAGGAAUAAGGAAAGCCAUACGAGACUUGGCGGCCAACAACCCGGGGGACCCUCCAGGUCCCUCAACCGUUGCCGAGGUGUUGUCCCUCGACCGCCGCGGUCGCCGCACCCUUCUGGCCGCUCUGCCCGAGGGAACCCCUCACCCAGUGCACGGCAGCGGGGACGGCAGCCAACGAAUCCGGUCGGCCUCCGCGGAUCUCCACAGGCAGCGCCGCUCCCCCGCUCGACGCGCGCUUCGCCCGCCGCCUCCCUUCUCCAGUCCAAACAAACACCCCAGCCCGGAAGUGACUUCACUUCCGCCGCCGCCGGCUCCGCCCCCUCGUUCUGUCCCCGCUGCCCUUUGAGACCACUAGAGGGCGCGCGAGAGAACGCGCGACCCCCGCGUUCUCUUCUUACCCCAGGCUGCACGCGUGGUGCGAGUGCGGGGGCCUUUCCUGCGUUCCUGGUGGACUCCGGAAGUCUUGUUGGAUUCUCUUUGGGAGAGCGGAGUUGGGCCGAGCCUGUCCCCCGACACCCGCCCAUCCUUCAGGAAUGUUGGCAUGCAGACCUGCACUUUGGCUUCGGGACAUAUGAGGCUGCGUCUAUGCUGACAGGAGCCCACAGCCUCCUCAGGACCCGCGGUGAGUUUUUGGGGGGACUGGGGCCAUGUCCAGGGUGACAGGAGCCCCCGGCCUCCUGAGGACCUGCUGUGAGGCUUCCAGAGGAUGU
RNAcentral lists this long non-coding RNA (785 nucleotides) under Vulpes vulpes (red fox). Its description in RNAcentral is "lncRNA (ENSVVUG00000009883.1)". The record is from RNAcentral. Lineage: Eukaryota; Metazoa; Chordata; Mammalia; Carnivora; Canidae.